GACGAACGCUGGCGGCGUGCUUAACACAUGCAAGUCGAGCGGUAAGGCCCUUUCGGGGUACACGAGCGGCGAACGGGUGAGUAACACGUGGGUGACCUGCCCUCAGCUCUGGGAUAAGCCUGGGAAACUGGGUCUAAUACUGGAUAUGACUCCACGGUGCAUGUCGUGGGGUGGAAAGCCUUGUGCGGCUGAGGAUGGGCCCGCGGCCUAUCAGCUUGUUGGGGGGUGAUGGCCUACCAAGGCGACGACGGGUAGCCGGCCUGAGAGGGCGACCGGCCACACUGGGACUGAGACACGGCCAGACUCCUACGGGAGGCAGCAGUGGGGAAUCUUGCGCAAUGGGCGAAAGCCUGACGCAGCGACGCCGCGUGAGGGAUGACGGCCU
Molecule: ribosomal RNA, 385 nt
Filed under: uncultured bacterium
Lineage: Bacteria
Description: bacterial SSU rRNA
Rfam family: Bacterial small subunit ribosomal RNA
Source: RNAcentral